AGUGGCGGACGGGUGAGUAACGCGUGGGUAACCUGCCUCAUACAGGGGGGAUAACAGUUAGAAAUGACUGCUAAUACCGCAUAAGACCACGGAGCCGCAUGGCUCAGUGGGAAAAACUCCGGUGGUAUGAGAUGGACCCGCGUCUGAUUAGGUAGUUGGUGGGGUAACGGCCUACCAAGCCAACGAUCAGUAGCCGACCUGAGAGGGUGACCGGCCACAUUGGGACUGAGACACGGCCCAAACUCCUACGGGAGGCAGCAGUGGGGAAUAUUGCACAAUGGGGGAAACCCUGAUGCAGCGACGCCGCGUGAGCGAAGAAGUAUUUCGGUAUGUAAAGCUCUAUCAGCAGGGAAGAAAAUGACGGUACCUGACUAAGAAGCACCGGCUAAAUACGUGCCAGCAGCCGCGGUAAUACGUAUGGUGCAAGCGUUAUCCGGAUUUACUGGGUGUAAAGGGAGCGUAGACGGCUGUGUAAGUCUGAAGUGAAAGCCCGGGGCUCAACCCCGGGACUGCUUUGGAAACUAUGCAGCUAGAGUGUCGGAGAGGUAAGUGGAAUUCCCAGUGUAGCGGUGAAAUGCGUAGAUAUUGGGAGGAACACCAGUGG
RNAcentral lists this ribosomal RNA (604 nucleotides) under uncultured Lachnospiraceae bacterium. RNAcentral's name for it is "bacterial SSU rRNA". It matches the Rfam family "Bacterial small subunit ribosomal RNA", at positions 94 to 715 of the family's 1533-position model. Lineage: Bacteria; Bacillati; Bacillota; Clostridia; Lachnospirales; Lachnospiraceae. The record is from RNAcentral.